Molecule: ribosomal RNA, 208 nt
Filed under: uncultured bacterium
Lineage: Bacteria
Description: partial 16S ribosomal RNA
Rfam family: Bacterial small subunit ribosomal RNA
Source: RNAcentral
CGCGUAGGCGGCUUGUACAGUCAGACGUGAAAUUCCUGGGCUCAACCUGGGGGCUGCGUUUGAUACGUGCGGGCUUGAGUUCGGAAGAGGGUCGUGGAAUUCCCAGUGUAGAGGUGAAAUUCGUAGAUAUUGGGAAGAACACCGGUGGCGAAGGCGGCGACCUGGUCCGAUACUGACGCUGAGGCGCGAAAGCGUGGGGAGCAAAACA